GGAGUGAACGCUGGCGGCAGGCCUAACACAUGCAAGUCGAACGGCAGCACAGUAAGAGCUUGCUCUUAUGGGUGGCGAGUGGCGGACGGGUGAGGAAUACAUCGGAAUCUACCUUGUCGUGGGGGAUAACGUAGGGAAACUUACGCUAAUACCGCAUACGACCUACGGGUGAAAGCGGAGGACCGCAAGGCUUCGCGCGAUUGGAUGAGCCGAUGUCGGAUUAGCUAGUUGGCGGGGUAAUGGCCCACCAAGGCGACGAUCCGUAGCUGGUCUGAGAGGAUGAUCAGCCACACUGGAACUGAGACACGGUCCAGACUCCUACGGGAGGCAGCAGUGGGGAAUAUUGGACAAUGGGCGCAAGCCUGAUCCAGCCAUGCCGCGUGUGUGAAGAAGGCCUUCGGUGUAAGCACUUUGUACCGGAAAGAAAGCAUUCGGUUAAUACCGGUGUCAUGACGGUACCGAAGAAUAAGCACGACUAACUUCGUG
This 486-nucleotide ribosomal RNA is filed under the name uncultured soil bacterium. RNAcentral describes it as "bacterial SSU rRNA". It matches the Rfam family "Bacterial small subunit ribosomal RNA", at positions 27 to 507 of the family's 1533-position model. The record is from RNAcentral.